This 495-nucleotide ribosomal RNA is filed under the name uncultured Glomeromycotina. RNAcentral's name for it is "partial small subunit ribosomal RNA". It matches the Rfam family "Eukaryotic small subunit ribosomal RNA", at positions 591 to 1092 of the family's 1831-position model. The record is from RNAcentral. Lineage: Eukaryota; Fungi; Glomeromycota.
CCAAUAGCGUAUAUUAAAGUUGUUGUGGUUAAAAAGCUCGUAGUUGAACCUUGGGCCUGGCCGUCCGAUCCGCCUCACCGCGUGUACUGGCUCGGCCGGGCCUUUCCCUCUGUGGAACCCCAUGCCCUUCACUGGGCGUGGCGGGGAAACAGGACUUUUACUGUGAAAAAAUUAGAGUGCUCCAGGCAGGCCUAUGCUCGAAUACAUUAGCAUGGAAUAAUAGAAUAGGACGUGUGGUUCUAUUUUGUUGGUUUCUAGGACCGCCGUAAUGAUUAAUAGGGACAGUCGGGGGCAUCAGUAUUCAAUUGUCAGAGGUGAAAUUCUUGGAUUUAUUGAAGACUAACUACUGCGAAAGCAUUUGCCAAGGAUGUUUUCAUUAAUCAGGAACGAAAGUUAGGGGAUCGAAGACGAUCAGAUACCGUCGUAGUCUUAACCAUAAACUAUGCCGACUAGGGAUCGGACGGUGUUAUUUUUUGACCCGUUCGGCACCUUACG